UGGAUUAUGACUGAUAGAAAAGAAGGAUCUUAGCCGAUUUUUGAGGCCUCUUCGCUGUUGUUGCCACUGAGCUUCAAUGGCAAACUCAUCUA
Molecule: small RNA, 92 nt
Filed under: Salix viminalis (osier)
Lineage: Eukaryota; Viridiplantae; Streptophyta; Magnoliopsida; Malpighiales; Salicaceae
Source: RNAcentral